AGAUGGAUCUUUUAUCCAGUGGGAGUGAUGGGACUGCCGAGUUAAAUAUGGCUGGUCUAUUUUCAGUGAGGAUGAGAUGGCGGUUUCAUACAUCUGUUUUGCAUCAUGUCUUCAGUGGAUGUUGUAUUAGGUAAAUGACUGAUGUAUGUUGGUGAAGAAGCAUGAAUAUGUGGUGGGAAAUGAAUGACUUUCUUUCUUACCUGCCUCACUACAGAUAUUUUACAUCCUUCAUCUGUCAAUGCAGACGCACCGUAAAAUUAAUGCUGAUUCAUGUCAUCGCUGUUACCUCAUAUUGAUGAUAUAUAGAAGUUUGACUUAAAAAAUACACCAUAUAAUUUGGACCGGGGAGAGUAGUUAUUUUAUAUACACAAUGUUCUAUAUAUGGAUAUCGGUAGUUCUAUAAUCAUUAAAAAAUGCCUAAUCAUGAAAUAUUUUCAUGCGAAACUAAUUAUGUUAUUUUUUUUAUCUUAACAGUCAGUUUAUAUGUCGAUAGUCAAAGUUAGAGAAGUAUGAUUGUACGUUUUUAGAACAUUAUUUGAUAGAUAUGUAAAAUUUACCACAUGUCUUUACCUUGACCAUUGCAAGUAAUGAACACCAAAAUUUUCCCUAGCUGGACAACUCACUCCUUAGCAGCGGCGUAGAGGAAAAGUAAAUCACAUAUUAUAGAGCAUAGAAAGUAGAAAAAGAAAUCAGGUUAUUGUCCGUGUAAGAAUAAUUACAACUUUUUACCGUAAUUACAGCAAAAUCAGCAAAAUCAGGUUGUCUGCGGUGGAUGCAUCCGCCUGCAAUACUACAUUUCUAUCUCUCCCCAAACCACUUCCCAAAACUUAACUCCUUCAAUCAUAAAUUUUUAGCACAGUUAAAAACCACUCCCCAAACCUUAAUUUUGCACAACUGUCAGCAUUCAAACAUGAUAUGAACUUAACAAAUUGAUUAAAUAUCACAAUAGUGCACAAUUAAACAUCACAUAAUUGAACUAAACAUGGUGGAACUAACAUAAGCUACAACUUGAUUAACUUAAAUUACAUCUUAGCUAGCCUAAUUUAAGCUAAUUGUCAGAGGGGGAGAUGGCAAUGGGCUCCUUCCCCUUGUCGGAGCCUGAUGCCCGACGUCAUGCGUGCCCUUUGGUGUGGCCUCAUCGGCGAAGGGGUUUGAGCCACCGGCAUAUUGAGAUGUCUUGAACUCUGCUCAGUCCCGUUACUUGGCCGCACAUGUGGCUAGGAUGGUGAUGAUAGUCGCAUGGCUUUGGAAGAGGCCUCCGAUCGCGAGGUGCUCCUCGAGGACCUCGGAGUCAGUCCACAUGGCGGGGGGCCAUAACCUCAUCUCCUCAUGAGGCCAUUUACGCCUCGUCGACUAUGUGCUCGUCGAGCACCUCCUCCUCCGCGUGGAGUUCCCGCUCGUCCUCUUCCCAUGGUUCGAGAUCCAUGGAGUAGGGCGUUGUCAAGGUCAAAGGAGUGCGUCAGCGACGGGAGAACCGCAAUUGCUGCACAGAGGACGAUGAGGAUGCGGGAUACAACCCCACACACCACCAUGGAAUCGUCGCCGGCACAGUGACCUUGCAGUGACCAUCACACGAAAUGGUAAGAAAUAUAAAAUACGAGCCUGUUUUAUAGCAUGAGUAAUUAAUCGUUAUUGUUGCAUAGAACUAGGUAAUUUUGCAUAUGCAUUGCACCGAGAGCAUAAUUUGUUCUCCCUCCAUUCCACAACGUAGUGUGCCCGCAGUUCUCGAGAUCCAAGUUUGACCGUAAAUUUAACCAACAAGACCGACUGCGGCUGGAGCAAUACCACUGUUUUAUGGAGUACUAAGGAGCGAGUUGUCCGGCUAGGAAAAAUUUGCAUAGUCUUUGUCUGUGUGUUUCAUCUGUGUUUUUUCUUUUAGUAUGUACUGCACACGACUGUGAUAUACUCCCUCCGUUCCAAAAAAGAUGACCCAACUUUGUAUUAAAGUUAGUAUAAAGUUGAGUCAUCUAUUUUGAAACGGAGGGAGUAUAUGCUGUCCCUAAUUUCCAGUCCGGGUUACGUGGAGCCCCAAUCAACCACAACCACCACAAAUGUAAGAAAAAAGCUCAGAAGCGUCCAGGCUCCACAUCAACAAUAACCAACAUGCUUCCAUUUUCAGCAUCUCAAAAUAAGCGCACGGGGGUGUUUCCUGACCACAGCCCCUGAACUUGACUUGCAUCAGCCGUUCGCCGGUGAAUGGUGACCUAACACCUGCCGUACCACACCACGACGACCAUGCGCCAGCGACCUGACAUGGCGGUACGGCGACGGACGCUCCUACGCGAACGCGUGCGGGCGCAAUCCGUCAACUCUGACUGAUGUAUGGCGUCUUCAGGAGAUCAGCCGGAUCGACCUAGAUAGUUGCAGCUGAGCUGCCGAACCGACCAAUCGCCGAAUCAUCCCCAAAACAGUUGCGUACAGGCUCGCUGUGUAGCCAUAUCUGUUCAGGUUAGAGAUUGAAAUGUAUCUUCCCGACGUUGCACUUUUUCCUCUAGGGUUUCCUAGAGUCCACUUUUUCCUCCGGCGGCGCCGCCGGAGUCCAUCCACCAAAUUCCAGUGUCAACCUGUGCGAUCUAUUCCGACGAAUCGCGAGGGCUAACCCUGGUGAACUGCGAGACGGUGUUGCAUGGCGGAUCUGGUCGCCCAGGGGGGCGCGGGCGGAAAGAAGGGAGUCCAAGGAGGCUUAGGGUUUGGCGCUGAUAAGGACGUUGCGGGAGAUAGGAGAAGGGAGAUUGGGGCAACCUCUGGUACGACCGAGGAUGUAACCAAAGAGAGGGAGGAGGCCGAGAGGGGGGAUACAGAUCGGGAAGAAGCGAUUGAUCGGGAGGAGAUUGAUCAUGGAUGAGAUCAGAUUGGGCCAGAACCUGAGCUGGAAGGCACCUUUGAAGGCUUGAAGCUCCAUGGGGAGGAAGAGGAGGACCUGGAUCUGUCGGGGGAGGUAGAGGAGCUGAUCAAGGAUGUUCGCUGGUUGUGUUUGUUCCAGGUACACACCAUGAGGCCAUUUAGCCACGCGGCGCUGCUGAACUCAAUGAGGAACGCUUGGGCUUGCGCCCAGGGAGUAACUUUCAACAUCAAAGGGCCAAAUCUGUUCUUGGCUCAGUGUCAUUGCUUGGGGGAUUGGAAGCAUGUCAUGGAGGGAGGCCCCUGGCAAUUCAGACGAGAUCCGGUGGUUAUUGUGGAGUAUGAUGGUUUCACAAACGUCUCUGAGUAUGCUCUGGAUAUGUAUCCCCUAUGGGUAAGGAUCAAGGAUUUACCGGAUGGGCUCACAAGGAAAAGGGAGCUAGCGGAGAAAAUUGCAAAGAAGGUGGGAGAGCCGCCGUUCACGGUGGUUGUGAAUGAAGGAAGAAUUAACCCCUCUAGUCACUUAAGAGUAAGGGUGUUUAUGAAUGUCCAGAAGCCAUUGGUGCGAUUUGUCAGUAUUACUCUCAAGGAGACGAAAAGGUAUCCUGUUACAUAUGAGAAGCUGCCGGAUUUUUGCUUUUUCUGUGGCUGUAUGGGGCAUGUGGUGGAAGAGUGCGGAGACGGGAUUCACGAUCCUUCCGAGUGUGAUUGGGGAGACUGGUUGCAUUGGAGUAGUGAGACGGCUAUGGCAGGAGGUGGUGUAGGGCGUGGUAGAGGAGGAGCGUCUGAAAGUUUUGGCGGGGGAAGAGGGAGACGGGCUGGUAGAGGAGGAGGUAGAGGAGUAGGAAAUUCAGGGGGAAGGGGGGAUGCAGAAAGCAAACCAGCUGGGGGAGUAGAUGCUGUUGGACAGAAUUCGAGUGGCGGGGUGCUUGCGGUUCCAAGAGCCCAUAAUCUUGGUGAGGACGAUCCCAUGACUGCUCGCAAAAGGCUUAUGGGGGCAGAUGGAGUCGUGAUGGUUCGUGGUCAACCAGUGCCGAACCUUGCUGGCAAAGUACCAAACACGGUUCUCAUGUUGGAGAGCGGUAGUGGGUCUGGGGCAAAUGUGGUGCCGGCCCCAUCGUCUACACCUGGCAAGUUACCAGUUGUGAAAAGAAGGAAGCAAGGUGAGGAGAGGGAGGAUGUUGAUAUGACAAAAGAGGCGGCCUCCUUCGAGGAGGACCGCUGGGCCCAAUGAAUAUCCUUAGUUGGAACUGCCGGGGAGGGGGGAAUCCCGGACAGUUCGUGAGCUGGCGACUAUCUGUCAGUCGCAUUCCCCUAGAAUGGUGUUUUUGUGUGAAACAAGACAGAGAGCUGAUAAAAUGAAGAAGGUGCGAGGGAGGAUUGGAUUGAAGGGUUAUGCAGGAGUUGAUAGUAAUGGUAUGAGUGGUGGUCUUGCGUUGUAUUGGCAUGAGAGUUACGAAGUGGAAAUUGUGGACAACACUACAAGAAAUAUGUUAAUACGUGACAGUACUAAUCCAUCAUGAAUGAGUGAAAAACUGUCAUGGGUGCCCGUCCAUGACGGAUUUGAAGUCCAUCAUGUAUAUCACGUCAUAAUUUGACACGGUUCUUGUCCGUCAUGGAUCCACCCCAGGCCCGCCCAAGCCCAAUCCAUUAUGACAAAACAAGCCGUCAUGGACUAACGCCAUGUAGGAUUUUUUAUCGACCAUUUCAAAUGACGUGGCUGCCCACGUGGAUACUAUUUUCCGUCACCAAAUUCGUCAUGGUUGAGCACAUUAUUCCACUUCUUUCAGCCCAAUUUUUACCCGAUACAUUUUUAGCAUAAUGAUAACAACAUUAAACCAUUCAACCAACUUUUGGAAACUGGUUAACAUUACACAGUACAACAUAGCAGUUUAUAAAAUCCUCUAAAAAUGAUAAAUUACAAUAUGAAUUGAUAAAAUAUAUCACAUCACGGUUAGGAAUGAGUACAAUGCAUUUUACAUCAACAGAACAUACAAACUAUCAAGGCUGUUACUUAGGUUCUUGUUGUCAGCCCUCCUGAUGGCAACCAUCAUGUCUUGGCUGAUUGUGAUGAGAAGCACCAAGUAGCCCACUUCCUAAUCUUAUCUGCAUAUUUACAAGAACCUUAGAUAUUUGUAGAUAUGAAUAGAUAGUAGAAAUAAUAUAAUUACAACAAAUAUAAAAAUGAAUUAAAUGUUGUCCAAAAUUCUUAAAUCUUAUAGUGCCUACGAAUGAGAAUAACAUUGCAUCUACUAUAAAACAAGAGUAAACAUAAGGUUUCUUAAAAUUAAACCAAAGAAAAGUGUGUCAAAUGACAAAGUAACAAAACACACAUCACAGAAUUAAGUACUAUAUUAUUGAGGUUGCUAUUCAUGUUCUUGUGAACAAAUAAUCUAUGAUGCAACCGUAAUCUAUAUUUACAUGGUUACAGCAAAUAGACUAGCAGCAAUUUGUGAGCACAGGUCUCGGUUACAUGUGCAACUCUGGCAUAAACAUGCAUAAACAUACAGCUUGACAUUUUUUUCUUUCUUAAUAUACAAGGCGAAGCUUUUGCCUCUUUCGGAAAUAAUGUGAAUCACACGUCUGGAGUAACAACAUCCUAAUUGGUCUCAUAUUCAGCUAAACAGAACAGGUGGACACGAGUAGAUAAAACUAGCUAAAAAAUAUUAGCAGAGAUACUCUAAGCAGAGCCAUAAGUAUACCAAGAGAUGAUAUAUGCUUAAGCUAGAUAUAUCCUUUAUACUUAUGAAAUCUGUAACUCAUACAAGUAUAUAGCAUGCUCAGAACAAUGUAUUCUGUUCUUGAGCUUCCAGCGUUAAAACAUGCAGAUAUUUCAAACUAAAAUAUUAGCUAUACUGUGUUGAAAUUGCUGUUUCAUAUUGCUGCUAAAGAACAAGUCAGGCAAUGACAAAAGAGUUUGGAAUAUGUAUUUACCUCCUGUAUUCACCAUGGAUCGUCGUUGCGGGGAAACCCGCUGUUGUAUAGCCAAUAUCUCAAUGAAUCGGCUUCUUGUUUUGUCUCCACGAAAACCAAUGUUAAGAGGCUGUUCAGGCUAGACAAACCAGAAAACUAGCAUCAGAAAAAUCUUAUAGAAUAAUUGUAAAUAAACCCAAUUGCUACAAUCCAAGAUGGCAGCAAAUAAUACCUUGUUGGUGAGUACGACAAGGUGCGAUGAACAAAAUAUGUAACAAUUGCUGCAACAAAUGAUGGUAGUAAGUACAUUUCACGGAUCUGACACUAAACUUGUAUGUAAUUAGUGCGAGAGCGAGAGUAGGCGAGGACUGAUCAACCAAAUAAUGAUAACUCAUAGAAAGUUUGCACAAAAUAUAUAACAGAUAAGCAGUGUAAUAGCAGCUUCAUCCAACUAGAAGUGUAGUAGCAACAACAACUACUACAGCAAUAGGAAUCUCCAUCCAAUUAAAAGAGCAACAGCAACAGGGGAACAUCAGCAUAGCUGCAGAAGGCGUACAUGUCACCUCUCCGCUUCAAGCAGAAGCGUUGGCUCUUCUAGCAGCUACAGAGUGCUGCUGCAAUCACCACAGGCGAGAUUACCUUCAUUACAGAUGAUCACGUUGUAGCAAAGGUUGCUGCUGCCUACAGGGAUUGGCCAAAUAAACCUGGACCAUAGGAGAUAAGAAACUAUUUAGCUGCCAUCUUCUCAAUCAUUAGCCAUUCUCAGGUUAAGGUCACUCAUAUCCCUAGGAAUUUCAAUAGCAGGGCACAUAGGUCUUAACAAUCUCACUCUUGGUCAAUCAAUUGAGUGAGCUUAAUAAAUUAUUUUAUUCCAACAAAUCCAAGGAACCAACAGGAGCAUCUCAUGGGCAUUUAAUUAUCAGUUUUGCUAGAACUCAUCUAGAUGAGAUAUAAUUUGGUCUCAUUCACCUUUUAUAGCCAUUGGAUGUGAUGCUAUAAGAUGCGUGUGUGCUGAUGUGGGUUGUAUUUGUUCUUGUUUUCAAAGUGAAUGAGACCAAAUUAUAUCUCAUCUAGAUGAGUUCUAGGUACUCCCUUUAAUUAUUAAAAUUAGCAGUUGCUUAACUAACUAGCAGAUUUCACAAAUUCUACACUGCUAGUGCUAGCACGGUGAGAGAAGAAAAUGGAAAUAGGCAGCAGAAUUAGUCAAUCGUUGGCUGUAACUUACGAGUAUCAGCAAAACAAAGUGGCGACAUUUUCUGCAGCAGGUUCAGUCCAAUAAAAUUGGAUAGCCCAAGGAGAACUACGCUAGAGCAGGGCAGCAAUCACUUGGAAAGAAAAUAAAAACAGGGCCAGAGGAUCGACCUUCAUGUUCUCCGGGGAAUCAUGGUGGUCGGGGAGGAGGACCUCGCCAUCGAGUUGUCCCGGUCGUCGGGCUCGAGCGUGGGUCCCGGUCGUCGCCGUCCAUCGAACUAGAGAGGCAGAGAGUUCCUCCUGAACUGAAUCGAAGCAAAAAAAAAAACUUCGAUUGGGGAUGGGUAGUAAUGAAGGAGAUAGGAGAAGAUGGAGGAAGCAGGGAGGGACCAUGUGCGAGGCGUCGCCGUCGCCGGCGAGGUCGAGGUCGACCCUCCCACAGGUCACGGUGGUCGUCCUCUCCUCGUCCAGCGAUUGCUGCUCCAAAUCUCCGGAUGGCAAGGCAGCUGCGCGGCUUGCGAGAUGAAGGAGGAAGGCAUCUGCCGCAGAUCCAUGGCCCAGGUCGUUGGAUGCGAGAAGCAGAGGCGCGCCACCGCGGCUAGGGUUGUCCGCCGCUUCCAUCGGGCCGCUGCAACUGUUGUCGCUAUGGAUCUCAUGCCGUCAUCAUCGCUUGGAGGCGAAGGACGGGGUCGAGGAGAGAUGAGGCGUGGUGGCGGCGGAUGAAGAAACAGGUCGGAACAAGAGUAUCUUAGGGUUAGCUUUUAUACGGGGAAAGAUUUAGGGCUUUUGGCGGGCUUCGGUGGGCUUGCGGGUCUCUCCUAUGCAGUUCAUCACGAAUUUUGAAAUUGUCGCCGGAAAUCCGUCAUGUAUUAACAGGUUUCUUGUAGUGCAAAGAUGAACAUUUUAUUGAUGCACUAGUUCGUGUCCAGGAAGGGGCAACCCAAUGGAGGAUUACAUGUGUAUAUGGUGAACCACAAGUUGAAAACAGGCAUCUUAUGUGGGCUAAACUCGAGCAUCUAAAAGUUGCGAAUGAUCUACCGUGGCUUGUUGUGGGUGAUUUCAAUGAAGCCAUGUGGGGCUUUGAGCAUCUUUCAGUAACACCACGGGGAGAGCCACAAAUGGUCGCCUUCCGUGAUACUUUGGAGAUCUGUGGCUUGGUUGACCUAGGCUUUGUUGGGGUUCCCUUUACAUAUGAUAAUAAGAGGGGUGGAGGUGGCAAUGUGAAGGUGAGACUGGAUAGGGCAGUGGCGACUAACGCAUGGAGAAAUUUGUUUGCUUAUGCUUCGGUUUUACAUGUGCCCUCGCCUUGCUCGGAUCAUGUGGCACUUGUUCUUAAGGGGUCGGUCGAUUGGGGGCCGAAUGGAGGGAAGCAUAGGAGAUAUGAGCUGUUCUGGGAGAGAGACGGAUCUUUACUGGAGGUGAUCAAGGAGGCUUGGGAAGCAGCGGGAGGCGUGUACAAUAUGGCACAGCUGAGAGACGCACUUACGAAAACAAUGACAGCCCUUCGACUUUGGAGCAAAAAAUUUGGUAAUGUUACUCGAGAGCUCGCCAAAUCGCGGACCCAGUUAGAGGAGUUGAUGAACAUGAAUGCUGAUCGCCAGGAUAUUGUACAGGUGACGGAUAAGAUGAAUGAGCUUCUGUAUCAAGAGGAGAUGCUUUGGUUGCAACGAUCGCGUAUCACGUGGUUGAAGGAAGGGGAUAGAAACACUAAAUAUUUUCACAAUAAGGCAGUUUGGAGGGCGAGGAAGAACAAGAUCCGUGAACUAACGGACAGCGUUGGCAAGGUUGUCAGAAUCGCGAUUCUGUUAUACGAUUCUACGACUUUAUGAUCCAAACUAGCCCCUAUGAUUCUACGACUUUAGUUCUUAGAAUCUACGUUUCUACGAUCCUAACAGUGAAGAUUCUACGAUUUGCGAUCCUACUAUCGAAGCUCCGAUCCGAUUCAAAAUCGCGAUUCUGACAACCUUGAGCGUCGGUGUAAUUCAUUCCGACCUUGUUGGCAUGUGGGAAUUAGCCAAUAUGUAUUUCCAUGAUAUUUUUACAGCUGACCCGACGCUUAAUGCUGCGCCUAUUUUGGACUUAAUUAACCAGGUGGUAACAGAAGAGGACAAUGCCAAGUUGUGUGUGCCGUUUACAGAGAAAGAGAUUCCGGAUGCUUUGUUUCAGAUCGGGCCACUAAAAUCUCCGGGUCCGGAUGGCUUUCCGGCGAGAUUCUUUCAGCGGAAUUGAAGUACUCUCAAGGAGGGUGUGCUGGCAGCGGUGAGGGAUUUUUUCAGUACUGGAAUCAUGUUGGAGGGGGUGAAUUCAACCUCGAUAGUUCUUAUUCCCAAGAUCCCUAACCCGGUGAGAAUCACAGACUACAGGCCUAUUAGUCUGUGUAACGUUAUUUAUAAGGUGAUUUCCAAGUGCCUCGUGAAUAGGAUGAGGCCUUUGUUGGAUGAUCUCAUAUCUCCCGAACAGAGUGCAUUCAUUCCUGGUAGGAUGAUCACUGACAACGCGCUUGUGGCGUUUGAAUGUAUCCAUCACAUGAAGCAGGAAAAGGAUCCACAAGAAGUUUUUGUGCGUACAAAUUGGACUUGUCAAAAGCUUAUGAUAGAGUUGAUUGGGUCUUCUUGAGGCAAAUGAUGCAAAAGUUGGGUUUCUCUCAGCGAUGGGUUGACUGGAUAAUGUCUUGUGUCACGUCGGUGAGAUACUCUGUCAAACUAAAUGGAACCCUCUUGGAUUCGUUUGCACCGACGCGUGGGCUUCGGCAAGGAGAUCCGUUAUCCCCGUUCCUUUUCUUGCUUGUGGCUGAUGGGCUAUCUGCUUUAUUGAGAAACAAAGUAGAAGUGGGCGAAAUCACUCUGGUUAAAGUGUCAAGACGAGGACCAGGUGUGUCGCAUUUAUUGUUUGCUGACGAUACGUUGUUGUUCUUUGAGGCAUCAGGAGAACAAGCGAGAGAGAUUAAAGUUGUGCUGGACAUAUAUGGGAGGGCGACAGGCCAAAGUUUAAACCCCGAGAAGUGUUCCAUUCUUCUUGGGGAUGCUUGCCCCGUUGCGAGGCAGGAGGAAGUACAGGCAGUGCUUCAGAUCACUAACUUGCACUUUGAGGAAAAGUACCUUGGCCUGCCGACUCCGGAGGGUCGGAUGUCUAAAGGCCGUUUUCAGAAUUUGCAGACUCGGUUAACCAAGCGAUUGCUACAAUGGGGAGAUGGCCUUUUGGCGCAACCGGGAAGAGAAGUGUUGAUUAAGUCAGUUGCUCAGGCCCUCCCUACAUACAUUAUGGGCGUCUUCAAGCUACCCUUUUCGGUUUGUGAUGAUCUUACGCGCAUGGUGCGGAAUUUUUAUUGGGGGUCGGCAAGGGGCAAGAGGAAAGUUCAUUGGAAGAAUUGGGACCAUNNNNNNNNNNNNNNNNNNNNNNNNNNNNNNNNNNNNNNNNNNNNNNNNNNNNNNNNNNNNNNNNNNNNNNNNNNNNNNNNNNNNNNNNNNNNNNNNNNNNNNNNNNNNNNNNNNNNNNNNNNNNNNNNNNNNNNNNNNNNNNNNNNNNNNNNNNNNNNNNNNNNNNNNNNNNNNNNNNNNNNNNNNNNNNNNNNNNNNNNNNNNNNNNNNNNNNNNNNNNNNNNNNNNNCAGGCCCUACUGGCUAGGCAGGCGUGGAGGUUAAUUACCAAACCGGACAGCCUUUGUGCUAGGGUUCUAAAAGCUCGAUAUUACCCGGAGGGUAAGCUGGAAGAUACAAUUUUUUCAGGAAACGGUUCAUCUUCAUGGCAAGCUAUAUGUCAUGGACUGGAUUUAUUGAAGAAAGGGCUGCUGUGGAGAGUUGGUGACGGAGCAAGCAUUCGGGUUUGGUGAGAUAAUUGGAUUCCGAGACCCUUCUCUUACAAACCAAUCUCUCCGCAAGGGCGUUGCCGCAUCCGUUUUGUCUCUGGUUUUUUGAAUGCUAAUGGAUCUUGGAAUGUUGAGCUCCUUCGGGACUUUUUUGUGACUGCCGAUGUGAUUGAAAUUUUAAAGAUUCGCGCCUCGCCAAGGAUGGCGGGAGAUGUUAUUGCAUGGGGUCCGGGUCGGCAUGGAAGUUUUUUGGUCAAAUCAGCAUAUGAGUUGGCUUUUAACGAGGACCAUCGAGGUACCAUGUCUUCGUCUAGUGCUUCGCCUUCGGGACGUCGUGCUUGUUGGGAUUUUAUCUGGAAGUGUGAUGCUCCUCCAUCGGUUAAGCACUUCGCUUGGCGUUUGGCAAUUGAUGCACUCCCUACUUGGCAGAAGAAACAUCGUAUUGGGUUGGAAACUACGAGUAUAUGCCCGGUGUGUGGAACAGAAGAGGAGGAUAAUUUUCAUCCGUUCGUUCGCUGCCAGUUGGGACGAGAUCUGUUUGUGGCUAUGUCCAAGGUAUGGAGGCUGCCUGACAUUACAUCUAUAUUGAACAAUGGUAAGGAAUGGUUGUUACAUGUCCUGAGUCCUCUUACCGAACUCGAACGCACAAUGGUAUUAAUGAUCUUUUGGAGAAGUUGGUUUGUUCGGAAUGAGCUCACCCAUGCGAAGCCUGCACCGCCGAUGGAAGCUUCGGUGCGUUUUCUGCAAAGCUAUUUGGAAUCUUUAAUUGGUUUGAAGCAGAACCCAAGAGCUGAUCCAGCCAAAGGGAAGUCAUAUGUUGAGUGGCUACUACCAAAGAAGAGGGAAAGUGCUGCUGCAGUUCAGGAACGAAGAUGGACCAAACCAGACCUAGGGUGGUGCAAGUUAAACACUGAUGGCUCUUUUGUAGCAUCCGGUGAAGCUGGGGCGGGGAUGAUCCUGCGUGACCAUUUGGGUGGCAUCAAUUUCUCGGCUUGCAGGGUUUUGUAUUCCUGCAGGGAUCCCCUAGAGGCGGAGCUGUGCGCGUGUAUGGAAGGCUUGUCCCUGGCAAUACAGAGAUGUGAUGUGCCGAUAGCAUUGGAGCUGGAUUCUCUCGAAGCAGUCACUCUCAUUACGAGUCCGGGGACCGAUCGUUCGGUUUACUCUUCAAUUGUGAGAGAGAUCAAGCACCUUUUGGGUUUAAGGAAAACUUGUAUUUCCCAUAUAUUUAGAUCCCAAAAUAAAGCUAGUGAUAGCUUAGCUAGUUUUGCUAGAACCCAAGGUAGGACCAUGACUUGGUUAGGGGCUGGUCCAGUUGAAGUUGUGGAAAUAGCAUCCAAUGAUUGUAAGGACUUUGUGAUUGAUUAAUACAUUGCUAUUUCACCCGCAAAAAAAGAGAGAUUGAAAUGUAUCACCGACCAUAUCUGGUACACUCACGUCUCUUCCAAACCAAGUUAACCACACAUAACUAGACACAAAACAGAAGUAAGUAAACAACCGCCGGUUCGUCAAAAAGUAAACGAACAACCGAAAUGCAGGUGAUCUGCCUGCUAGGGGCAUCUCCAGCCGUUGGCCUCCCAGGAGGGGCAAAAAAACGCCCCCUGGGGGCGCACCGGCGCUAAACCGCGCACUAGGGGCGUGAUGUCCCCCAGUCGUGGUGCCCACGGUUAGUCAAAAAAGUUAAACACGGCGCAAAAACGAUUCAAAUUUAAUGCAAACAUCGGCGAGUUCAUUCAAACUUAAACAUAUUUUACAAAAAAGAAAAAAAACUACCGCGGGCUACCCCCGCCGUCUCCCUCGCCGCCCGCCGUCUCCCUCGCCGCCCGCCCACGCGGUUCUACAUGCCGAGGAGGCGGUAGAACCGCGUGUAGUCACCGCCGUCAUCGUCAUCGUCGUCGUCGUCGUCGUCGCCGCCUCCGCCGCCCCUGCUGCAUCCCUCCCCCGGUUGGCGCGGCGGGUUGGACGGUCCGGGGGCGUCAUCGUCGUCGUCUCUGUCGAGGACCACGACGCCGUGCUCGUCCUCGCGCCCACGCUUGCGGGCGGCGAUCUCCUCCAGGGCCCGGCGCUGCCGGACCAUCUCGUCGCGGAGGUAGUCGUCCCGCGCCCACCGCAUGGCGUCCUCAUCGGAGAAGCCGCGCCGGGCUAUCUCCUCGUACUUCGUGGGGAGGACGGGCUCCGGCUUGGUCUCGGCGAGGACGAAACGUCCGGUUGGUGGAGAGGCGUUGGCGCCGCCGGAGCUGCGGGUGCGCGCGCUGACCGGCGUGUCCUGGGGCUCCGGCUUGACAGGGCGGAGGCAGGGCGAGCCGCCGGACGAGGAGGAGGACCCCCCGGGCUCCAUGCGCCUCGGGGUCCAGGAGCUUCCCCGGUGGCGUGAGAAGGAAGGGGGAGCGGGGUACUCCAGGCGCGGCGUGUUGCCGCCCUCGAUGUACUCGAGGACGACCUCCAACGUGCGCCCGGGCACGCCCCUCCAUAGACGCCGGCCGGCGGCGUUGAGCCUGCCGGAGGGCACGACGCCGUUGGUGGCCUCGAGCUGCUCGGCCUGACGGCGGCGGAAUUACGGUUCCCAAAGCGGGCUGUCGAGGGCGUACCGUGGCGCCUCCCUCGCCGCACGCGGCAGGUUCGAGCGGAUGCGUGCGAUCUCUGCACGCCGCACCGCGCCGGUCGGUACCGGGGGCACCGGCACGCCGCCCGCGCUGAUCCUCCACGUCCCGGGCACCCGCAUGUCCGGCGGGACCGGGUACUCGGCCUCGUAAAGGAGGCGAGCCUCGUCUUCGUGAAGAUGGCGGCGGCCGAAGCCGUUCGCCGCCGCGCCGUCGCCUUGGAAGCGCUCGGCCAUGGCUGUGAACUGGGGGCGGCGAAAGAGAGGAGAGGAGAGGGAGGAAACGACGACGGCGGGAGAGUGUGAGUCGCCGAGUGCGUCGGGGCGCUUCAUAUAUAGGCCAAGGCGCGCGUGUCACCGUGUGUACGCGUGGCGGGCGAGGGAGGGCGAGGGACGCGCGUCGUCCGGUCUUCACUGCGCCGCCUGUGAGGCAUCAAUGGUGCAGUCUGACCGGCACGGCAGCUUUGGCAUUGAUUCGCCGCGGGAAACGAGGUGAUGAGGACGACGAAGGGCCGAGAAGAGAGCCGUGUCGCUGACGCGGCGGGCCCGUGGCUUUUUCGCGCCAAAACAGUUCGCCCGGCGCCCCCGGACGCCCCUGAGCGCGCCGGGUUCGGGCUGGGUCCGCCGACGCUGUUUUCGGCCCAAGCCGGCGAAAAUCGGGCUCCGGGGGGCGCGACUGGGCCGUUUUUUCAGCGCCGGCGCGAAAAAAACGCCUGGGGAGGCCUUCCUGGGGCACGGCUGGAGAUGCCCUAACCCACCAAAAGUUUAUACUGUCCACUGAAAGUUACAUGCAUGCAUGCAUGUCUACCCGCAUGCAGCGAUUUUUCCAUUUUGAUUUUGGAGCGCUAAAAUUAGGGCCUUCUCCUAUCUCCAAGACAUCACAGCAAGAAGUUGCCUCUCUCCUGAUCGAUACACAUAGACAGAAAAACCAUACUGCACAAGAACACCAUGGCCUCCCUUGUCUUCCUCGUGGCGCUGCUGCUCUCAUGCAGCUCCAUGAGCAGCGCAGCACGGCACCUAGAGGAGGCCGUGCCCAAAAAGGAGUAUCCACCACAUCCGGUCGUCCCGGAGCUGCCGAAGCCCGAACUCCCGCCGCACCCUGCCGUGCCCGAGCUGCCGAAGCCUGAGCCACCGCACCCUCUCGUGCCCGAAGUGCCACACCCCAUGGUGCCCGAGGUGCCAAAGCAUGAGCUACCGCCGCACCCUGCUGUGCCGGAGCUCCCGAAGCCAGAAGUGCCGCAUCCGGUUGUGCCCGAGGUAGCAAAGGAGCCCGAAGUGCCACAUCCCGUGGUGCCCGAGGUGCCAAAGAAGGAACUACCACCGCACCCUGCUGUCCCCAAGCUCCCGAAGCCUGAAGUGCCGCAUGUGCCGGAGGUGGCUAAGGAGCCUGAAGUGCCACACCCCAUCGUACCAAAGGUGCCAAAGAAGCACGAACUGCCGCACCCCAUGUGCCACACCCUGAGGCGCUGAAGGAGCCCGAGUUACCGCACCCUAUUGUGCCAGAGGUCCCGAAGCACGAAAUGCCGCCGUUCCCCAAAGCCGAGCUGCCCCCGAAGCCCGAGUUCCAUUUUCCGGAGCCAAAGGCCAAGCCAUGAUCGGACUAGCUACAUCCGCACAGUACCCAUUAUCUAAGUAUUAUUAAACUAUAUAAUAUACAUGUGUGUGUGUGUGUGAUUGUUAUAGUAUAUACAGUACACGUAUAUGUGUUGUACAUGUCGUGAGAGCCCGUACUCUAGUUCCUGACGAGAGCGUUAUGUCUGAGUGGUAUUGCAUUGUGCAACUGAUCUGUUCCUUUUAUGUACAUCCGCGAUGUAUAUGAUAUGCACGUGAAUAAAUAUGUUUGUGUUUGGAGUUUCAGAUUGCUGUUGUGUUCCGAUUUACUUAUGUGCAUCGGUAAAUACUUCUUAUGUUUUUGCUACAUUAUGCGCUUCAGACAAUAUAAUUGUUUGUUUUUUGCGUUGGCAGAGAAGGCCCAUGAGCCCACGUUUCAUCAGAAGCAUAUACUGUAAUAUAGUACUCCCUCCGUCCGAAAAUACUUGUCAGUGAAACGGAUGUAUCUAGAUGUAUUUUAGUUCUAGAUACAUCCAUUUUCAUCCAUUUUGAUGACAAGUAACUCCGGACGGAGGGAGUACAAGAUAACAAAGACUAUCCAAAUGCUAGCAGUGGUUCAUUACAAACAAAACAAAAAGUCUUUCAAAGGGUUUCUUACAUGUAAGAGAAGUGAAAUAGCAUUAGCAUGUGUUGCUGGCAUAGUCUAGUUUUUUUGAACCGUUUUUAAGUCUUAAACAAACUACUCCCUUCAUGUCGUAAAUAAGUGGUGACGGUGUCCUGGACUAGGGGUACUCAAUGCGUCGUCUCCCGAUCAGUUGGAUUGGGUUGAGGACCCCCAUGGCCGUAUACUCAUGGGCCAGUCCGGACAGCUGCUGCAUACAAGGAAGAAUCAACAAGACUUGGCGAUCAAGACAAGGACUCCUCCCCCACCGGCGUAUUCGGCUAGGACUCUUGUUAUCCUAGGCCUCUGGUGCAUUAUAUAAACUAGGGCCAGGCUAGUCGAUAGACAUAUACAACAACAAUCAUAUCAUAGGCUAGCUUUUAGGGUUUAGCCUCUACGAUCUCGUGGUAGAUCUACUCUUGUACUACCCAUAUCAUCAAUAUUAAUCAAGCAGGACGUAGGGUUUUACCUCCAUCGAGAGGGCCCGAACCUGGGUAAAACAUCGUGUCCCUUGCCUCCUGUUACCAUUGAUUCUAAGACGCACAGUUUGGGACCCCCUACCCGAGAUCCGCCGGUUUUGACACCGACAUUGGUGCUUUCAUUGAGAGUUCCGCUGUGUGAUCGGCGAAAGGAUCAAUGGCUCGACUGCAGGUCAACUGCGACGUCGACUUCUUCGUCACCAGCUCGACUGGUCACCUUGGCUUGACCGAGGACUGCGCCCUACCUUUGAUCGUCAUGUUCGGAUGAAGGCCUUCAUCAACACCAACUCCGAUCUCUAUCAAGAUCAUGGAGGAGUCAUCCAUGGAGCUCGGGGGCUCAACGUCAACAUUGCCCUCAGGCGGCCGUGCUGUUUUUCUGGACAACAAACUUGUAUCCGCCGCCACCGCCUCUUCGAGUGUCGUCUAAACGAUUACUUCGGUGGAAUUAUGCGGAAUUAAGUCUGCAACAACCCUGCAAAAAUUUCGUCGAGUUCCGAUGGAGGAAUCUCCGGCAAUCUUCGAUAUACCGAAGCCCUGUUGAAUCUGGACGAGAAUCCGGACGAGUUUAGGGCGUGGUAUGCAGCAUCUAGCUCGGAUGUCCUUUGGAGGAUCCAACCGUUGAUUUGCUGCGGAAUUCCCUUAUCUACCACCUGCCAAAAAUUCAGCUCGAUCCGACCGUUCAAACUCCGGAAAACUUCCGAUUAGUGCAUCAUUUUUUGGAUCUGUUUUCUGAGCGAAAACGAAUCUGACCCGAGUUCGUCUUUUUUAUGAACGGGAUUUCAGACAUCCUUUUUGAAGGAAGUUUUGUAUGGGGUAUUUUGUUUUCUUCCCGAACACAUCCCGCUAACUUUAAUAUCUUUUGAACAUGAUCUUCAACAUCAUGCUGGUGUCAAACCAGUCCGACAAUAUUGCUCCACGGCUGCCGACCUGCGCUAGACACGUCGUCACUUUGUUGACCCAAGCUCAACUUCUUCGGAUCAUCAUCUUGGCAAGCCGAACAAGAGUCCGACAUCGCGAAGGAUAAAUCAUCACCAACAUCGCCGCCCCACGGAUUACACGGAGCGGGCAUACCGGCAUCGCCGCACGGUCGCUUCAUCAAGCUGGCAUCGACCACGUCACGACCUGCAUCGGCAGGGCCGCACUAUUGCUUCUUCAAGCUGGCGUCCAUCACGCGAACCUACUCCGGACACUUCGGCGUCACUAGCCGACCAGGCAUGGGUGCGUGGAUCGAGUCCCAAUUUUGAGAAUCACCUUCCUUCGGAUUGCUACAACAAAUAAACCAGGUGCUAUUAAUCCUAGUUUUUCUUUUUGCUUGUUUGGGUUAAAUUUUUCCCAAGGAAUUAUUACUCUGGUUAGUCCAGCAUAUGUACACAGAUCUAUCAAAUGGUGGCCGCAUUAUCGACGGUCGCAUGAUGGUUCGGUCAGUUUCCGUACACAGUUUGGCGAACGCCGCAUCCGGAACUCGGACCGACCUGUGAAUCCAGGCUUUGCCACGCCUUUAUUGCAUUACGCCGACGACCUGCAUCGACAUCGACUUCGGCGCCAGGCCAUAUUUUUCUUUUACUACUCACUUUGCAUAAAUUAUUUAUUAUGCAACAUUUUUUUAAUUCCUAUUAUUACUAUUAUCCCCGGUCUGCACUAUUUUUUGUGCACAGGAAAAUGAUCCAGCCGGACUAUAUCCUUUUGCGCCACCUCGGCUGGACGGGGGGCUUCGUCAACACUUCAUUACCCCAUGCCGGGGACUUCUGCAUCACCCUGCCAUCCUGCAUUGACCGUGCUAUGUCACCACUUCGGAGUGCCGAGCUCUUUGCUUCGCCACCUCGGGACCGGCUCUGGGAUGGAACCUUGUCCCGCAUCAAGCUUGGACCGCGUCAUCAAUACCGAACACAUUAACCAGCUAAGUUGUCUUCAUGCUCAAAGUUUUAAAUUUGUAACUUGUGUUCGGUUCGACCAAGCAUUAUACUUUUUUUGGAAAAAAAGUUGCUUGUAAAAAUUUUCCUUGUCCAAACUUUGUUUGCACAUACUUGACGCGCUACCCGCGCUCAUUAUACCUGGAGGCUUCUUUAACAGAAGCUUAUUAAUACGGGCUUUAUGCCCAACACAUGUGUCACACUUCCGCAUGUACCUUUUAUUCACUAUUAUAUGCAUCGAUAUGACUUAUGUUUUGACCAAGCUGGGUUGCCUGGCUCCUGUGCUUACCCCUACGUUCCCGAUUGUUCGGCUAGGUGGUAAAGGGAGCACCUCUGCGAUUGUUACUGCCGGGUCAGCCGGAUGUGUACCUCAGACUAGGUGAAGCCGAAAGCUAGCGUUCUUAAGGGAAUAUUCGGUCGGUGAACUAAAAGAUGAUUUUUAAUUAUUUAUCCAUCUGCCCCCAGAUGAUUUUCUGCUUUCAUAGCAGCUUUGACAUGCACUUUAGGGCAUGCAUCCCAGCGAAAGGAACCCUUAACGGAACUAUUCUCCCUGGAAGAUGUUUUUUACUACCCAUGUAAUAUAACAUAACUAGUUGGGCACUUGUCUGAUACAUCACUAAUGACCCCUACACCUUGUCUCCAUGCAUACCAUGGUUCUUAUAUAACCACCAAGGUAUUCGGACACACUCCGGACUAUUGGGUCCUGAGGUCGAAGCGAAAAGGUCCGCUAUGACAAACGAUCUACAAUCCGGCUAGAAGGCAUUCUACAUGUCACCUUACAUUAUAUAGUCAACUUUUACCCAAGUCACUUGGGGGCCCUUAUGUUAUUUGAGCCGUUUCAUACUAAGUGUUUUUCUUCUUAGUCCUUGCAAAGUUUUUAUUAUUUAUCACUCCUUUUCUCGACACGAGUGUGCGGUCACUAGCCGAGGAGCCUAAUUUCUCUCUCGAAAUCGCUAGAGUUUAGUUUUCUAAACUUGACUAAUCCGUAGGCUGACCCACUUGACGUCUUGAGAUAGGAUGUGUCAUGUUAAAGCACGGCAGAAGCACUUUUUUUUCUACAGUCCAAUUUUCGGAUUGGCACCGAACACUUGAUCUUGUUCGAACGUCAUGUUUUUACUGACGUUUUUUGGUUUUCCAAGAUUUUGGCACUUUUAAACUAUUUGUGUGUUUUUAGCACAAGUCUCGCAGUGCAACGCCGGACACCUUUAGAGAUUCGGCAAAAACAUUCUCGGAUAUUGCUAUAUAUGCAUCGGUUUCGAAUUGUGUAUUCGGUCAAUAGUUGGGUUGCCCGGCUCCUGCGCUUGCCUCCUAUGUUCCGCUUUGUUCGGCUAGGUGUGCAAAGGGAGAACCACUGCGAUUGUGCUUCCAGCUCACAUGGUUAAGCACCUCAAUGGAGAAAGCCGAAAACUGACUGUCACAAUAAGCGUAAACUGGUCGGCGAUCCGAUGACGGCGUUAAACAACGGGCCAUUCAUAACAAUGGCCGAAGUGUUUACGGCUUGACCUCGAUUGUCGCCGAACACUACCGGGGGCUAUUAACUGGCCUCCCAAACUAAAUCCUCGAUAUUUUGCUCUUACAUUGGAGCUGAGGUUUCAUGAUCAUGCUUAGCAUGACAACCCAAAGAAAGGAACCGAUAGCGGGACUAUUUUCUUUGGAAGACAUUUCUUCUGUUAAACAGUAAUAUAACAUGUCUCUCCGCGUACCUUUGUUUAUAAAACCGUAUGGCCAGAUUCCCUUGUUUGUUGUAAAUCUUUGCCCUCAUAAAGACUUUAUAAAGUAGGACAAACACUCCUCGGCUACCGGCCGAGGAGGUUAAAGCCCAUGGUCGGUCAACAAAGUUUUGUACAAUGCGGAUCCGAGCAUUAAUGACAUAAAGUACUUGGAUACAUUGAAUCAUUACACAUAAUUUGUGAUUUUACUAUGGAUAUUGAUCCUUAAUUCGGCCACCCGUGCCCGCAUUAAGGCUCGGGGGCUACUGGGCUUCAGGCUUAUUAUUUACAAAUAUUAAAGGGGCACAUUGAUCCCCUGAUCUGGUGUUGCCACCCGACCAGUGUCUCGGGGGCUACUGCAUUGCUUGUUCUAUGCAGAAAAUCUUAAGUGCAAUACAGUUUCCGAGGAGAUUUUGAUCCUCAGGUUGGUCAGCCGCACCCAACCUGAAUCUCGAGGACUGAUCAUGCCGCUUUUUGUGUCCCGAAGUAUUCUGCCGAGCUAGGACUUGAUCCUCAGACCGAUUUUGCAAAUCAACCUGAGUCUCAGUGGCUACGGGGAUCAGCGGUCUUAUGUCAUCCUUCAGGUGCAUCUCGGUUUUUAGACCGAUACAUACCUUGAGGGCUACUGGCUAUAUAUCUCGUCAGAGAAUAAAUUACAUCAAUAAAAAACAUUGACCAAAAAUCAGCCGACGACCGAGGUGCUUAACCACCUCGGAAGUAGUUCGACAUAUAGCUCGGAUGCAAGUGGCUGGCUCCUUAGAGGGCAUUUCCGGCGUUAAGCUCGGUUAAACUCCUUCAAACUUCUUUGAACCAAGGUGAUUUAUGACACCUCGGAUAAAGUCCGGCGUUGGAGCUCGGAUACAGUUCGGCGUUGGAGCUCAGAUACAUAGUCCGGCGUUAGAGCUGGGAAGCAGUCCGGCAUUGGUGCUCGGCUGCAAAAGAUACCUCGAAUGCAGUCCGACGUUGGAGCUCGGACGCAAGAGGACCUUCCCACCCGGGAACAACUUCAAACCCGAGGCAUGGCAUAAAAAUAACAAGGCAUUGAUAAAGGCCGUAAACUUAAAGGGGAUCCUCGGAUGCCCAACGCGUAAACUCGUCGAAUGCAUUUCGGCGAUCCUCAAGAUAGAAGAUGAGAAGAUUUGUUGAACCAGUUUUCAAGACCGGCAACCAAAGAUGAAGAACAGUUCGAAAGAAUCGAGGAGCGUCCCUAACUUGAAGACCGGUUCAGGGGGCUACUGACGGUGUCCUGGACUAGGGGGUACUCAACGCGUCAUCUCCCGAUCAGUUGGAUUGGGCCGAUGACCCCCAUGGCCGUAUACUCAUGGGCCAGUCCGGACAGCUGCCACAUACAAGGAAGAAUCAACAAGACUUGGCGAUCAAGACAAGGACUCCUCCCCCACCGGCGUAUUCGGCUAGGACUCUUGUUAUCCUAGGCCUCUGGUGCAUUAUAUAAACCAGGGCCAGGCUAGUCGAUAGACAUAUACAACAACAAUCAUACCAUAGGCUAGCUUUUAGGGUUUAGCCUCUACGAUCUCGUGGUAGAUCUACUCUUGUACUACCCAUAUCAUCAAUAUUAAUCAAGCAGGAUGUAGGGUUUUACCUCCAUCGAGAGGGCCCGAACCUGGGUAAAACAUCGUGUCCCUUGCCUCCUGUUACAAUUGAUCCUAAGACGCACAGUUCGGGACCCCCUACCCGAGAUCCGCCGGUUUUGACACCGACAAGUGGUGCUUUGGACAUUAAUUGACGGUCCAAAGUAGGUCGAAAGCUUGGGGCUUUUUUUGUGUUACCGCAUUCUUCACCAAAGUUUGGCUAGAUGGUUAUGUACAGUUCAGAGUGAAAGCUUGGUUUUCAACAGGGGUCAAUGUUGGUGACUGCGACGUUAUUUUCCUCAUUGGAGGCGUUUUCCGAAGAUUCUGCUCACUACUCCUCGGGCUACGGUCACGUUGGUGCUGGUGGUCUAGCUUGGUCAAUGCCUAGCGGUGUUGUUUUACCUUUUUUUGGCUUUCGGUCUAGUUUCCUCAAUAAGCCUGGUCACUCUAUAAUUUUUUGCCUUUGAAAUUGACAGAGCACCUUCCUUGCAACUAACAAUAAAAUAAACUAAUGACAUUUUCAAAAUACUUUUCGACAAAUCUACACAUAAGUCAAAAAAAUAAACUAAUGACAUUUUCAAAGUUUCUAUAUAAUUGUUUAAAACAAUAUCAACAGUCAGAGUUUUAAUAAAUUUCUAGACAUAAGUCAAAAACAUCACCUAUAUACUAUUGGUGAUUUUAUUUUUACAAAUAAGUUUUCUGCGGCUAUUUUUUUCAGAUGUUCCUGCAAAAACUCGAAGGCGGAUGCCUAUUUUGCCAUACAAAAUAGGCUGUUUUUUUUCUUCUUUUUCUUAGCCAAAGUUGAUGUGAAUGGUGGAAACAUUUUCAUGUUCCAAAGCAAAUAAGGAGGUGAGAAAUAUUGGAUGGUAAGCAAGUUUAAAUUUCAUUCAACAAACAAAAGAAGGAGAUCUUUUUUUGCGGGCAAUAGAUUUAACCUAUCUGACAUCUACAAAUCUUUAUAACCUUUGUCACAACAACUAAAAAAUACAUGCAACAUUAUGUUGUUAUAUCCCAACAUAAUAAAAAUAAAAAAUCUUCAUUAAAGGUACUUACAAGAUAUAGUUUUUCACCCAUUUGAUUAACAAAAAUGUUCCAAAUGGGGUCUAAACCAACAAGGUGUGCUAAUGAAGUUAGUGACUGUUAUUUCCAAUAUUGAUUAUUUUGCAUAAAUUAUAACUUAUUUUUGCGAGAGAUAUUCUUGUUUUUAUAUGGGGAGUAAACGUGACGCCGAAAGUAAUGUAUAACAAAACGAGAAGGAGUUAACAAUAUAUAGUCAUUUUGUUACGUAGCUUCGGUUAACGUACUUCUCCUAAAGCGCCAUGCAUUCAGGGUAUCAAGUAAUAUGUUAUAAAAAGUGUAUUUGCUAGAUUUGCAUUCGAAAGUAGUUUUGAAUGGAGUGUCAAAAAUACUCUUGUACUAUUUUUGCUACAUACAACUUAAAUUUAUGUAAAAAAAUCGAUCCAAAAUACAAUGAGGUACCUGAAGAUAUUUGUGUGCGUCUGGCUUUGGUACCUGAGGAGUUAGGUAGCUUUAAGUUGCUUGAAGAAGGGAUGGUCACGUCAUGGAAUAGUCAUUUUCAACUCGAUUCGGAACUAGCGAAGUCAAAUAUAGUUCAUAACACCAUGGAGUAUCUCAGCAGCUUGUCCUUGACCUGCAAGUCUGCUCAUCUGAUAAAAAAGAAGAAGGUAUGCUGAUCAGCACUCACUGCUCCCAACUAAUAUACCCGCAAGUCGUUUUCUGCUCAACUUGCAACAAAGCAACCGCCUUGCCGAUAGACACAUCCCACAUCCACAUGAUAGAUUGCAUGCGAUCUCUGACUACGGAGCUCGGUGACGUGGAGCUAGCUAACCCUAAUCAAGCACAACCACCACAAUAAACAUGUCAAAAUAAAGGGCACGGGGAUGUUUCCUGACCACAGCCGUUCGCCGGUGAGUGGUGACCUAACACCUGCCGUACCAGGUCGACCGUGCGUCAGAGUGACCUGACACCGCGGUACGGCGACGGACGCUCCUACGCGAGCGCGUGCGCGCUCAAUCCAUCACCAAACGGCCAACUAGGGACUGAUGUAUGGCCUCUUCAGGAGAUCAGCCAGUUCGACGAGAUAGGUGCAGCUGCGCUGCAGAACCGAGCGACCAGUUAUCGAGUCAUCCAAAAACACUUGCGUUUAGGUUCGCUGUAGCACAGGAUAUCUCGGUGUGUAGGCUGAGUAGCAUGUAUUCAUAUGCUACAUUUGGACAGCAGGUUCCGGUACAAUCUUUUUUUUUUUGGGAAAAGGAGGCUAAACCCCCGACCUCUGCAUCAAUCGAUGCAAACCAAUCUUCAUUAAUUAUUUCACAAAUGACUGACAAGAAAAUACAUCAAGCCACCCAAAGUAACCACUCACACCUAUAAACUCGAUAAUGUGAAGUGCUCUCACCUCACAUAUCUAAAA
This 23675-nucleotide long non-coding RNA is filed under the name Triticum aestivum (bread wheat). RNAcentral describes it as "long non-coding RNA (TAES_LNC022155)". The stretch from base 15356 to 15480 matches the Rfam family "MIR1120/MIR1122 microRNA precursor family". The record is from RNAcentral. Lineage: Eukaryota; Viridiplantae; Streptophyta; Magnoliopsida; Poales; Poaceae.